AGUGAACGCUGGCGGCAGGCCUAACACAUGCAAGUCGAGCGGCAGCGCGGGGGCAACCCUGGCGGCGAGCGGCGGACGGGUGAGGAAUUCGUCGGAAUCUGCCUUUUUGUGGGGGAUAACGUAGGGAAACUUACGCUAAUACCGCAUACGUCCUACGGGAGAAAGUGGGGGACCGCAAGGCCUCACGCAGAAAGAUGAGCCGACGACCGAUUAGCUAGUUGGUGGGGUAAAGGCCCACCAAGGCGACGAUCGGUAGCUGGUCUGAGAGGAUGAUCAGCCACACUGGGACGGAGACACGGCCCAGACUCCUACGGGAGGCAGCAGUGGGGAAUAUUGGACAAUGGGGGCAAGCCUGAUCCAGCCAUGCCGCGUGUGUGAAGAAGGCCUUCGGGUUGUAAAGCACUUUUGUCCGGAAAGAAAUCCCUGGAGCUAAUACCUUCGGGGGAUGACGGUACCGGAAGAAUAAGCACCGGCUAACUUCGUG
Molecule: ribosomal RNA, 484 nt
Filed under: uncultured bacterium
Lineage: Bacteria
Description: partial 16S ribosomal RNA
Rfam family: Bacterial small subunit ribosomal RNA
Source: RNAcentral